UACGUAGGGGGCAAGCGUUGUCCGGAUUUAUUGGGCGUAAAAGGCUUGUAGGUGGCCACGCCAAGUCGGAUGUGAAAUCCCCCGGCUCAACUGGGAGGGGUCAUUCGAUACUGGCGGGCUCGAGGCCGGUAGGGGGAAGUGGAAUUCCCGGUGUAGUGGUGGAAUGCGUAGAUAUCGGGAGGAACACCAGUGGCGAAGGCGGCUUCCUGGACCGGUUCUGACGCUGAGGCACGAAAGUGUGGGGAUCAAACAGG
This 254-nucleotide ribosomal RNA is filed under the name uncultured bacterium. Its description in RNAcentral is "partial 16S ribosomal RNA". It matches the Rfam family "Bacterial small subunit ribosomal RNA", at positions 524 to 776 of the family's 1533-position model. The record is from RNAcentral.